This 274-nucleotide ribosomal RNA is filed under the name uncultured bacterium. RNAcentral's name for it is "partial 16S ribosomal RNA". It matches the Rfam family "Bacterial small subunit ribosomal RNA", at positions 523 to 796 of the family's 1533-position model. The record is from RNAcentral.
AUACGAAGGGGGCUAGCGUUGUUCGGAAUUACUGGGCGUAAAGCGCGCGUAGGCGGAUUGGUCAGUCAGGGGUGAAAUCCCAGGGCUUAACCCUGGAACUGCCUCUAAUACUGCCAGUCUUGAGUUCGGGAGAGGUGAGUGGAAUUCCUAGUGUAGAGGUGAAAUUCGUAGAUAUUAGGAAGAACACCAGUGGCGAAGGCGGCUCACUGGCCCGAUACUGACGCUGAGGCGCGAAAGCGUGGGGAGCAAACAGGAUUAGAAACCCCAGUAGUCC